RNAcentral lists this ribosomal RNA (253 nucleotides) under uncultured Desulfosporosinus sp. RNAcentral describes it as "partial 16S ribosomal RNA". It matches the Rfam family "Bacterial small subunit ribosomal RNA", at positions 524 to 776 of the family's 1533-position model. Lineage: Bacteria; Bacillati; Bacillota; Clostridia; Eubacteriales; Desulfitobacteriaceae. The record is from RNAcentral.
AACGUAGGGGGCGAGCGUUGUCCGGAAUUACUGGGCGUAAAGGGCGCGUAGGCGGAUAUUUAAGUCCGGUGUGAAAGAUCAGGGCUCAACCCUGAGAGUGCAUCGGAAACUGGAUGUCUUGAGGACAGGAGAGGAAAGUGGAAUUCCUAGUGUAGCGGUGAAAUGCGUAGAUAUUAGGAGGAACACCAGUGGCGAAAGCGGCUUUCUGGCCUGUAACUGACGCUGAGGCGCGAAAGCGUGGGGAGCAAACAGG